ACUAAGCGUACACGGUGGAUGCCCUGGCAGUCAGAGGCGAUGAAGGACGUGCUAAUCUGCGAAAAGCGCCGGCGAGGUGAUAUGAACCUUUGACCCGGCGAUGUCCGAAUGGGGAAACCCAGUGUGAUUCGUCACACUAUCGUUAACUGAAUACAUAGGUUAACGAGGCGAACCGGGGGAACUGAAACAUCUAAGUACCCCGAGGAAAAGAAAUCAACCGAGAUUCCCCCAGUAGCGGCGAGCGAACGGGGAGCAGCCCAGAGUCUGAAUCAGCUUGUGUGUUAGUGGAACGGUCUGGAAAGUCCGACGGUACAGGGUGAUAGUCCCGUACACGAAAAUGCACAGGCUGUGAACUCGAAGAGUAGGGCGGGACACGUGGUAUCCUGUCUGAAUAUGGGGGGACCAUCCUCCAAGGCUAAAUACUCCUGACUGACCGAUAGUGAACCAGUACCGUGAGGGAAAGGCGAAAAGAACCCCGGCGAGGGGAGUGAAAAAGAACCUGAAACCGUGUACGUACAAGCAGUGGGAGCACCUUCGUGGUGUGACUGCGUACCUUUUGUAUAAUGGGUCAGCGACUUAUAUUCUGUAGCAAGGUUAACCGUAUAGGGGAGCCGAAGGGAAACCGAGUCUUAACUGGGCGUUAAGUUGCAGGGUAUAGACCCGAAACCCGGUGAUCUAGCCAUGGGCAGGUUGAAGGUUGGGUAACACUAACUGGAGGACCGAACCGACUAAUGUUGAAAAAUUAGCGGAUGACUUGUGGCUGGGGGUGAAAGGCCAAUCAAACCGGGAGAUAGCUGGUUCUCCCCGAAAGCUAUUUAGGUAGCGCCUCGUGAACUCAUCUUCGGGGUAGAGCACUGUUUCGGCUAGGGGGCCAUCCCGGCUUACCAACCCGAUGCAAACUACGAAUACCGAAGAAUGUUAUCACGGGAGACACACGGCGGGUGCUAACGUCCGUCGUGAAGAGGGAAACAACCCAGACCGCCAGCUAAGGUCCCAAAGUCAUGGUUAAGUGGGAAACGAUGUGGGAAGGCCCAGACAGCCAGGAUGUUGGCUUAGAAGCAGCCAUCAUUUAAAGAAAGCGUAAUAGCUCACUGGUCGAGUCGGCCUGCGCGGAAGAUGUAACGGGGCUAAACCAUGCACCGAAGCUGCGGCAGCGACACUAUGUGUUGUUGGGUAGGGGAGCGUUCUGUAAGCCGUUGAAGGUGGCCUGUGAGGGUUGCUGGAGGUAUCAGAAGUGCGAAUGCUGACAUAAGUAACGAUAAAGCGGGUGAAAAGCCCGCUCGCCGGAAGACCAAGGGUUCCUGUCCAACGUUAAUCGGGGCAGGGUGAGUCGACCCCUAAGGCGAGGCCGAAAGGCGUAGUCGAUGGGAAACAGGUUAAUAUUCCUGUACUUGGUGUUACUGCGAAGGGGGGACGGAGAAGGCUAUGUUAGCCGGGCGACGGUUGUCCCGGUUUAAGCAUGUAGGCGGAACGAUUAGGUAAAUCCGGUCGUUUUUUAACGCUGAGGUGUGAUGACGAGGCACUACGGUGCUGAAGUAACAAAUGCCCUGCUUCCAGGAAAAGCCUCUAAGCAUCAGGUAACAUCAAAUCGUACCCCAAACCGACACAGGUGGUCAGGUAGAGAAUACCAAGGCGCUUGAGAGAACUCGGGUGAAGGAACUAGGCAAAAUGGUGCCGUAACUUCGGGAGAAGGCACGCUGAUAUGUAGGUGAAGCCCCUGCGGGUGGAGCUGAAAUCAGUCGAAGAUACCAGCUGGCUGCAACUGUUUAUUAAAAACACAGCACUGUGCAAACACGAAAGUGGACGUAUACGGUGUGACGCCUGCCCGGUGCCGGAAGGUUAAUUGAUGGGGUUAGCGGUAACGCGAAGCUCUUGAUCGAAGCCCCGGUAAACGGCGGCCGUAACUAUAACGGUCCUAAGGUAGCGAAAUUCCUUGUCGGGUAAGUUCCGACCUGCACGAAUGGCGUAAUGAUGGCCAGGCUGUCUCCACCCGAGACUCAGUGAAAUUGAACUCGCUGUGAAGAUGCAGUGUACCCGCGGCAAGACGGAAAGACCCCGUGAACCUUUACUAUAGCUUGACACUGAACACUGGUCCUUGAUGUGUAGGAUAGGUGGGAGGCUUUGAAGUGUGGACGCCAGUCUGCAUGGAGCCGUCCUUGAAAUACCACCCUUUAAUGGCUGGUGUUCUAACGUAGACCCGUAAUCCGGGUUGCGGACAGUGUCUGGUGGGUAGUUUGACUGGGGCGGUCUCCUCCCAAAGAGUAACGGAGGAGCACGAAGGUUAGCUAAUCCUGGUCGGACAUCAGGAGGUUAGUGCAAUGGCAUAAGCUAGCUUGACUGCGAGAGUGACGGCUCGAGCAGGUGCGAAAGCAGGUCAUAGUGAUCCGGUGGUUCUGAAUGGAAGGGCCAUCGCUCAACGGAUAAAAGGUACUCCGGGGAUAACAGGCUGAUACCGCCCAAGAGUUCAUAUCGACGGCGGUGUUUGGCACCUCGAUGUCGGCUCAUCACAUCCUGGGGCUGAAGUAGGUCCCAAGGGUAUGGCUGUUCGCCAUUUAAAGUGGUACGCGAGCUGGGUUUAGAACGUCGUGAGACAGUUCGGUCCCUAUCUGCCGUGGGCGCUGGAGAAUUGAGGGGGGCUGCUCCUAGUACGAGAGGACCGGAGUGGACGCAUCACUGGUGUUCGGGUUGUCAUGCCAAUGGCACUGCCCGGUAGCUAAAUGCGGAAGAGAUAAGUGCUGAAAGCAUCUAAGCACGAAACUUGCCCCGAGAUGAGUUCUCCCUGAGCCUUUAAGGCUCCUGAAGGAACGUUGAAGACGACGACGUUGAUAGGUCGGGUGUGUAAGCGCAGCGAUGCGUUGAGCUAACCGAUACUAAUGAACCGUGAGGCUUAACC
Molecule: ribosomal RNA, 2893 nt
Filed under: Enterobacter cloacae
Lineage: Bacteria; Pseudomonadati; Pseudomonadota; Gammaproteobacteria; Enterobacterales; Enterobacteriaceae
Description: bacterial LSU rRNA
Rfam family: Bacterial large subunit ribosomal RNA
Source: RNAcentral